AAAAGACGGGCGUUUUCAAUAAAUGGACAGUCGAGAAGGUCUCUUGAUUGAUUAGCUUAAUUUCGACAAAGUAGAGCAACAAAAAUGCGUACAUUGCUAUUUUAGUCUUGGUAGCUUCGGCUACUGCCACGUUGGCGGAACCCUAAAACAGACCUACACCUGGGCCAACUGGAAGUCCUCGCCCACCAAAUACUCCCGCUGCUCGCCAGGCACCUCCUCCCCCUCCUCCGCCAAUCGAAGUUCCUCGUCCUCCACCUACUCCUGCUGCCCGCCAGGGGCCCCAUCCCAACCCUCCCCCAACUGAAGUUCCACGCCCUCCACCCCUAACCACCCGUGCUAGCGGUUAAAGGGUAAAAUUUAAAUGUUAAUGUCCCCCAUCUGACAAUUACCAAAGAUCCAACGCGUAUUUUUCAAGACUUUUGACCCACGUUAAGACUUAUGCCCACUUCAAACAUGAAAGCAUGCGUAAAUGUGACUGCCCUGCGUUAUGCAUACCAAUCAUCUCGUGCCGAUUUUACUACACGUUAUAGAUCGGAUACUCGUACUUGCUUGUUAAGAAACUGUGGCAUAAUAUUCACGAGCAAUAACGCUAUCACUUCUUUAAGGUCAAGGGAUGCAACAUAGGAUUCAUUACUAAAGUUUGCAGAUGAUGGGAUUUUCUCGCAUCUGUCCAUUCCGACGUAUGGUUGAUUCUGCGCUGAGGACUGCAUUAUGAGUUAAGGAUGUCACGCCAGUGCCUAGCGCAAAUAGAAAAAAUAAACAAAUAAAACUCAUGUUUAGUGGAAUGAAAACAAUUAUAAUUUAAUAAAAGCAUCUUUAUUAACCCACUUUUUAACUUGCAUUUGUGCGUUGCCCAGCGCAUAUUCUGGGAAAUUAACCAAAAGCCAUGUAAAAAGUACGUUAUUCGAGUAAAAACCCCUUUACUAUGAGAUGGAAAAUAAUGCAACAUCAACAAUUAUUUUAAUUUGCAUAUGUGUGUAAAAACAUUAGUUACAAUGACUUCCAGAUUAGGAGGAAUUUUUAAGCAAUUGAAAAGUUUUGAAAUACAGUACAGAUCCUUAAACUUU
Molecule: long non-coding RNA, 1067 nt
Organism: Daphnia magna
Lineage: Eukaryota; Metazoa; Arthropoda; Branchiopoda; Diplostraca; Daphniidae
Exons: 2
Source: RefSeq, a predicted model, not a curated record